This 2414-nucleotide ribosomal RNA is filed under the name Staphylococcus pseudintermedius. RNAcentral describes it as "partial 23S ribosomal RNA". It matches the Rfam family "Bacterial large subunit ribosomal RNA", at positions 402 to 2821 of the family's 2925-position model. Lineage: Bacteria; Bacillati; Bacillota; Bacilli; Caryophanales; Staphylococcaceae. The record is from RNAcentral.
UGGAUCCUGAGUACGACGGAGCACGUGAAAUUCCGUCGGAAUCUGGGAGGACCAUCUCCUAAGGCUAAAUACUCUCUAGUGACCGAUAGUGAACCAGUACCGUGAGGGAAAGGUGAAAAGUACCCCGGAAGGGGAGUGAAAGAGAACUUGAAACCGUGUGCUUACAAGUAGUCAGAGCCCGUUAAUGGGUGAUGGCGUGCCUUUUGUAGAAUGAACCGGCGAGUUACGAUCUGAUGCAAGGUUAAGCAGAAAAUGUGGAGCCGUAGCGAAAGCGAGUCUGAAUAGGGCGAAUGAGUAUUUGGUCGUAGACCCGAAACCAGGUGAUCUACCCUUGGUCAGGUUGAAGUUCAGGUAACACUGAAUGGAGGACCGAACCGACUUACGUUGAAAAGUGAGCGGAUGAACUGAGGGUAGCGGAGAAAUUCCAAUCGAACUUGGAGAUAGCUGGUUCUCUCCGAAAUAGCUUUAGGGCUAGCCUCAAGUGAUGAUUAUUGGAGGUAGAGCACUGUUUGGACGAGGGGCCCCUCUCGGGUUACCGAAUUCAGACAAACUCCGAAUGCCAAAUAAUUUAACUUGGGAGUCAGAAUGUGGGUGAUAAGGUCCAUAUUCGAAAGGGAAACAGCCCAGACCACCAGCUAAGGUCCCAAAAUAUAUGUUAAGUGGAAAAGGAUGUGGCGUUGCCCAGACAACUAGGAUGUUGGCUUAGAAGCAGCCAUCAUUUAAAGAGUGCGUAAUAGCUCACUAGUCGAGUGACACUGCGCCGAAAAUGUACCGGGGCUAAACAUAUUACCGAAGCUGUGGAUUGUCCUUUGGACAAUGGUAGGAGAGCGUUCUAAGGGCGUUGAAGCAUGAUCGCAAGGACAUGUGGAGCGCUUAGAAGUGAGAAUGCCGGUGUGAGUAGCGAAAGACGGGUGAGAAUCCCGUCCACCGAUUGACUAAGGUUUCCAGAGGAAGGCUCGUCCGCUCUGGGUUAGUCGGGUCCUAAGCUGAGGCCGACAGGCGUAGGCGAUGGAUAACAGGUUGAUAUUCCUGUACCACCAUUAUUCGUUUUAAGCGAUGGGGGGACGCAGUAGGAUAGGCGAAGCGUGCUGUUGGAGUGCACGUCCAAGCAGUGAGAUUGAGUGUUAGGCAAAUCCGGCACUCUUAAGAUUGAGCUGUGAUGGGGAGAGGAACUUGUUCCUCGAGUCGUUGAUUUCACACUGCCGAGAAAAGCCUCUAGCUAGAAUAACGGUGCCCGUACCGCAAACCGACACAGGUAGUCAAGAUGAGAAUUCUAAGGUGAGCGAGCGAACUCUCGUUAAGGAACUCGGCAAAAUGACCCCGUAACUUCGGGAGAAGGGGUGCUCUUUGAGGUUCACGCUUCGAAGAGCCGCAGUGAAUAGGCCCAAGCGACUGUUUAUCAAAAACACAGGUCUCUGCUAAACCGUAAGGUGACGUAUAGGGGCUGACGCCUGCCCGGUGCUGGAAGGUUAAGAGGAGUGGUUAGCGCAAGCGAAGCUACGAAUCGAAGCCCCAGUAAACGGCGGCCGUAACUAUAACGGUCCUAAGGUAGCGAAAUUCCUUGUCGGGUAAGUUCCGACCCGCACGAAAGGCGUAACGAUUUGGGCACUGUCUCAACGAGAGACUCGGUGAAAUCAUAGUACCGGUGAAGAUGCCGGUUACCCGCGACAGGACGGAAAGACCCCGUGGAGCUUUACUGUAGCCUGAUAUUGAAAUUCGGUACAGUUUGUACAGGAUAGGUAGGAGCCUUAGAAGCGUGAGCGCUAGCUUACGUGGAGGCAUUGGUGGGAUACUACCCUAAUUGUAUUGGAUUUCUAACCCGCAGCACUUAUCGUGCUGGGAGACAGUGUCAGGCGGGCAGUUUGACUGGGGCGGUCGCCUCCUAAAGAGUAACGGAGGCGCUCAAAGGUUCCCUCAGAAUGGUUGGAAAUCAUUCAUAGAGUGUAAAGGCAUAAGGGAGCUUGACUGCGAGACCUACAAGUCGAGCAGGGUCGAAAGACGGACUUAGUGAUCCGGUGGUUCCGCAUGGAAGGGCCAUCGCUCAACGGAUAAAAGCUACCCCGGGGAUAACAGGCUUAUCUCCCCCAAGAGUUCACAUCGACGGGGAGGUUUGGCACCUCGAUGUCGGCUCAUCGCAUCCUGGGGCUGUAGUCGGUCCCAAGGGUUGGGCUGUUCGCCCAUUAAAGCGGUACGCGAGCUGGGUUCAGAACGUCGUGAGACAGUUCGGUCCCUAUCCGUCGUGGGCGUAGGAAAUUUGAGAGGAGCUGUCCUUAGUACGAGAGGACCGGGAUGGACAUACCUCUGGUGUACCAGUUGUCGUGCCAACGGCAUAGCUGGGUAGCUAUGUAUGGACGGGAUAAGUGCUGAAAGCAUCUAAGCAUGAAGCCCCCCUCGAGAUGAGAUUUCCCAACUUC